ACCCUGAUGGCGUAGUGGUUAAGUGCUAUUGGCUGCUAACCAAACGGUCGGCAGUUCGAAUCCUCCAGGUG
Non-coding RNA from Loxodonta africana (African savanna elephant), 71 nucleotides. Lineage: Eukaryota; Metazoa; Chordata; Mammalia; Proboscidea; Elephantidae. The record is from Rfam.